GUCCAGCCGAGGCGUGUGGCUAACUGAACCCCCGCGCUGUUUGCCCAGGCAGCUCCGGGAGCUCUACCGCCUUGCAUGGAAACCGGGCUAUUUGCAAAGGGGCCUUCGCUCCAUGCAGAGGCCAGGAGCCCGGGAGACAUGCGUGGCACACACUGAGGGGACGUGCAGCGCAGGGUCUAAACAAGCCCAAGGUGGCAAUACAGCAGAUUGAACACCAUGACAUGCUGAAACCUGGCUGGUUUUAUGAGGGAAACCAACUCAAAGCUGAUCCCACCCCCAAGAUGAGAAAAGACAUGAAGCUAUGACAUGCACAGCGUCAUUUUGGGGGUUCAAUUCUGAAGUUCCUGCUCAGGCUGCACUCCCAAUGAACUCCAUUCGGUUUUGCCUGCAGAAGCAGGCAGCGUGUUCUGAAGAAAAGAUCAGGAGACUGAGCAUCAGGACAUUCUGAGUUCAAAUGAGAUGUUUUUGUGAAAGAUCUGUUCUAGGAAUUAUUUUGAAGAAAUUCCGUGGCCUGUGUGAUACAGGAGGUCCAGAUGAGAUGAUCACAAUGGUUUGUUCUGGCCUAGGAAUCUAUUAAUCUACAUCCUAGUUUACCCAUUAAUUUGUUCUGCACCCUGAGAUGAAUUCCUUCAUCUUUCUGCCUCAGUUUCUCCAUCUGUAAAAUGAAGAUAAUAUUUGCGAUGGGCUGGAUCAUAGGAACCCCCUUGGGAACUGCCAAGUGAUGUGCCAAGACUACUUCUGCCCCUGCUUUCCCUGCCACCUCGGGACACCA
Gopherus evgoodei (Goodes thornscrub tortoise) is the source of this 772-nucleotide long non-coding RNA. RefSeq lists it as uncharacterized. The transcript is spliced from 3 exons. NCBI's taxonomy places the organism in Eukaryota, Metazoa, Chordata, Testudines, Testudinidae. The record is from RefSeq and is a predicted model, not a curated record.